This 2037-nucleotide long non-coding RNA is filed under the name Brassica rapa (field mustard). RNAcentral's name for it is "long non-coding RNA (BRAP_LNC000202)". The record is from RNAcentral. Lineage: Eukaryota; Viridiplantae; Streptophyta; Magnoliopsida; Brassicales; Brassicaceae.
AAAGAAAUCACAGAGAUCAAUUCUGAAUAAAACUUCAUGUAAAUAAAAGAGAUAGAAAGAGGGUUCAGGAUAAUCUUCUCUAUGGUGAGAGAGAUGGAGCCUUCUCCCUUUACAAUCCAAAAGCACAAAAGUCUCCAAUGGUUUUCUUCUGUCUAGAAUAGCGUAGAAUGAUAAAGAGAAACAGAAAAUAUGAUAUAUCAAAGCCACAGGCGGUUGGGAGAGAAAAUAUGGAUAAUUAGGGCAAAUCCCGUAAUGAUUGUAGUUUCCUUAAAAAUCUCUGCCGCUGGAACACUCACUCGGAACAGUCACUCGGGUUGCUCCGCUAUCCGGAACAGUCAUCAAGACUGUUCUGCGUGAAAACCACCAAAUUGCAUUGUUUUCUGCCUCUUUUGUUCCAGCUGGUCCAUCUCCCAUCCAAUGCAACUCCAAACCUGUAAUGACUCGAAAAGGACUAGAAAGACUCGAUAAAGACUUGAAAACCAAUUGAAAAGCAUAUAUAUAAGAUGUAUAAAACACCAUAUAUCAAUUCCCCCAGACUUAGAUCCUUGUUUGUCCUCAAACAAUGUCAAGUAUCAAGAACAGGGAGAAAGGUUUGAAAGUGUGGGAACUCUCCUAUUCUCAGCAACCAAACUUUAACCACGAAUCUCUGAACCAUACAAGCAGUAAAACUAGGACAACACACCCUUACCGGAACCCCACUGACUGCUGUUCAAAAAUCGGCUCCAUACUCUUCAUCCCAAACCUGAAAAAGCAACACUAUCGAGACAGAACUCCCUACAUUCAUUUAAGAGUAGCGUGAGCUUCUCAUCACAGGCAUCAUUCAGGGUAGACGGUCUAGGUGUGGAACAGGCUAUUUAAUGGUGGAGUUAAGAGUGUUUAGGGGCUACCAUUUCAUUGAAGAGGAUGCAGGAUAUCACACAAAAUGGCAAGAGAGGAUAGAUCCAUUGAUGUCCACAGCCUCUACUCGUUUUUGCUCUAUCUGGUGCGACUGUUCUGAUGACGGAAAAAGCAACUGAUUGUUCUGCUUUCCACUUUCCUCUACACACUCUUCAAUACUUGGUACCAACUUCUUGAUCGACCUUUCCAGUGGCUCCAUGUUUCUUUUCUUUCUUCCCCUUCUCCAUCACAUUAUUCUCGUUUUUUUUUUUUUUUUUUUUAAGACUAAUAUGGUGAUGUGACGAAGAAGGAGGUAAUACAUGAUCGUUCUGAGUGCCACUGGUGGUUCUGAUUUCACGACCAUUCUAGUUCUCCACCCCUGCUCUUGCGCAGUUCAUUGGUUAUGGAGCGGUUGCUCCCUUAAUCUGCUUGUUUUCCUUUCUGACAUAAUUUCUGCAGCAGUAACGAGUAGGAGGCUGCGUUGAUCAUUUCCUCUCUGACCUUUUUGCACAUAUCUGCACAUAUGACACUGAAAAACAAAUGCAUGAAGGUGGAAUAAAGGCUAAGGUGCAGGGUGGGAACUAACUAAAGAUGAGCUAGCCAUUCAGGAUCAGCAAGAUGGAUAAAAAGGAUAAGAAGUCCUGAGUGUGUUUUCGUUUCCCUGAUCUAAUGCCCAUAACAAGAAGAAUUUCAGUUAAGAUUAGGUUCAAGUAAGGUGGAGUUAAGUCUACCCAGUGUAACCUGAUCGGCUGAGAACUUCUGGAGAAUCAAGUGAGAUAUGUCAGGGUGUUCCAGGUCCACAUGUGUGUCUUUCGCUACUGCUAAGGUCACUGAAUAAGAUAACUAAAGCACGAGGUGGUCAGUGAUCAACACAGAAUAAGGUCCUAAUUCCCACAAAGUUUUGACUGACUCAAUAAAAAACGGACUCAAAUUGACCCAAAAGAAAAACAAAAGAAAGAAACGAGUUAGUAAACGACGAAAACCCUCCCCCAGACUUACUUCACAACGUCCCUGGUGUGAAAAUAAAUCAGAGAGAAGGAGAAAACAAAAAUAAAUAUUUUUUUUUUUUGGUCGAGAUACUUACCUGAGUGGAGCAGGCGCUCCAUGAAAAUUCUGGGUGUUCUAUCGUCAGAUGAUCGCCUGGAACAACCGCUCUUUUCA